Molecule: ribosomal RNA, 377 nt
Filed under: uncultured bacterium
Lineage: Bacteria
Description: bacterial SSU rRNA
Rfam family: Bacterial small subunit ribosomal RNA
Source: RNAcentral
UAAUACGUAGGAGGCGAGCGUUGUCCGGAUUUACUGGGCGUAAAGAGCGCGCAGGCGGCACCCUAAGUACCCUCUGAAAUCUGUCUGCUCAACGGGCAGGGUGGAGGGUAGACUAGGGAGCUAGAGAGAGGUAGAGGGGGGUAGAAUUGCUGGUGUAGCGGUGAAAUGCGUAGAGAUCAGCAGGAAUACCCGUGGCGAAGGCGGCCCCCUGGGCCUCUUCUGACGCCGAGGCGCGAAGGCUGGGGGAGCGAACGGGAUUAGAUACCCCGGUAGUCCCAGCAGUAAACGAUGACCACUAGGUGUGGGGGGUGUUGACCCCUUCCGUGCCGAAGCUAACGCAUUAAGUGGUCCGCCUGGGGAGUACGGUCGCAAGACUA